Molecule: long non-coding RNA, 789 nt
Organism: Trifolium pratense (red clover)
Lineage: Eukaryota; Viridiplantae; Streptophyta; Magnoliopsida; Fabales; Fabaceae
Exons: 3
Source: RefSeq, a predicted model, not a curated record
CUUGAAAUGAAGGUUGAUUCAAGAAUGAAAUGGGAAUCACAAACCGCUUCAUUUUGUCUCCGACAUAAACCGCAAGAUAGCCUUUUGGGACUUCAUCCACAACCUUUGAAGAUGACUUUCUAAUACCAGGAAUGGCUAUAAAAAGGCAGGAUUUUGAAGCCUUCGCUCAGCGAAGCCACAGCGAGCUGCAGCGAACGAAACCAAUGGGUUAAGGGUCCAUGGCGAAGAUCAGCGAGCCUCAGCGAGCAGAACAACAAAUGAACAUUCGCUCAGCGAAGGUUAGCGAGAGAUAGCGAACAAAGGCAGAGAGUUAUGGUCUGAUGGCGAGAGAUAGCGAGCUUCAACGAAUAAAUGAUGAGUCAGGAUUUUUGCUACGUGUCAAGAAAUCUCUUGCCUAAGUAACCUGUUCGCUUAGCGAACAUCAUUUCGCUCAGCGAACUGCUAUGUUUUGAAAAUCUAUAAAUAGCAGUCAGAAGCCACUUUCUGAUAUCAUCUCAUUUUGUAAUAGUUCAUAUACGUGAAAAACACUAGUUUAAGAGUUCUAGAGGAGUUUUGUAAGGUGGAUUCAUCAAUACACUUGAGAAAUCAAGAGAUGUUCUUCAUCCCUUUUACUCCUUGUUCUUCAGAAGCUGAUUUGACAAAUUCAGGAACUUGCUUUCUUACGGGGACUUGUCCAGUAAACACAUAUGGGUGUUCCCUUCAAUGUAAAGAUAAGGGCUUUCGUUUUGGUGGUCAUUGUCAACAAGGGGCUUGUUGUUGUACACCAAAUAUUUGAGAGAUUUAUGUUUG